This 440-nucleotide ribosomal RNA is filed under the name uncultured bacterium. RNAcentral describes it as "partial 16S ribosomal RNA". It matches the Rfam family "Bacterial small subunit ribosomal RNA", at positions 338 to 795 of the family's 1533-position model. The record is from RNAcentral.
CCUACGGGAGGCAGCAGUGGGGAAUAUUGCUCAAUGGGGGGAACUCUGAUGCAGCGACGCCGCGUGAGUGAAGACGGCUUUCGGUAUGUUAAGCUCCAUUAGUAGGGAAGAAAAUGACGGUACCUGACUAAGAAGCCACGGAUAACUACGUGCCAGCAGCCGCGGUAAUACGUAGGGGGCAAGCGUUAUCCGGAUUUACUGGGUGUAAAGGGAGCGUAGGCGGUUAUGCAAGUCUGAAGUGAAAGGGCAAGGCUCAACCAUGGGACUGCUUGGGAAACUGUAAAACUGGAGUGCAGGAGAGGUAAGCGGAAUUCCUAGUGUAGCGGUGAAAUGCGUAGAUAUUAGGCAGAACACAGAUGGCGAAGGCGGCUUACUGGACUGUAACUGACGUUGAGGCUCGAAGGCGUGGGGAGCAAACAGGAUUAGAUACCCUGGUAGUC